Caerostris darwini is the source of this 73-nucleotide non-coding RNA. The record is from the annotation of a GenBank genome assembly. NCBI's taxonomy places the organism in Eukaryota, Metazoa, Arthropoda, Arachnida, Araneae, Araneidae.
GCCCGGAUAGCUCAGUCGAUAGAGCAUUUGGCUUUUAACCUAUCGAUCCAGGGGUCGAGUCCCUAUUCGGGCG